UAUUGGUCAAUGUACGAGAGUCUGAACCAGCCAAGUAGCGUGAAGGAUGACUGCCCUAUGGGUUCUAAACUUCUUUUAUAUGGGAAUGAAACAGGGUAUGCAUACCCUCUUGUAUGUACCUUAUGAAUAAGGAUCGGCUAACUCCGUGCCAGCAGCCGCGGUAAUACGGAGGAUCCGAGCGUUAUCCGGAUUUAUUGGGUUUAAAGGGAGCGUAGGCGGGUUGUUAAGUCAGUUGUGAAAGUUUGCGGCUCAACCGUAAAAUUGCAGUUGAUACUGGCAUCCUUGAGUACAGUAGAGGUAGGCGGAAUUCGUGGUGUAGCGGUGAAAUGCUUAGAUAUCACGAAGAACUCCGAUUGCGAAGGCAGCUCACUGGACUGUUGACCGACACUGAGGCUCGAAAGUGUGGGUAUCAAAC
RNAcentral lists this ribosomal RNA (415 nucleotides) under uncultured bacterium. RNAcentral describes it as "bacterial SSU rRNA". It matches the Rfam family "Bacterial small subunit ribosomal RNA", at positions 362 to 773 of the family's 1533-position model. The record is from RNAcentral.